CUUGAGUGCGGAAGAGGGGGGUGGAAUUCCACGUGUAGCGGUGAAAUGCGUAGAUAUGUGGAGGAACACCGAUGGCGAAGGCGGCUUUCUGGGCUGUAACUGACGCUGAUGCGCGAAAGCGUGGGGAGCAAACAGGAUUAGAUACCCUGGUAGUCCACGCCCUAAACGAUGACUGCUAGUUGUUG
RNAcentral lists this ribosomal RNA (185 nucleotides) under uncultured Bacillus sp. RNAcentral describes it as "partial 16S ribosomal RNA". It matches the Rfam family "Bacterial small subunit ribosomal RNA", at positions 641 to 825 of the family's 1533-position model. The record is from RNAcentral. Lineage: Bacteria; Bacillati; Bacillota; Bacilli; Caryophanales; Bacillaceae.